Gossypium arboreum is the source of this 501-nucleotide long non-coding RNA. RefSeq lists it as uncharacterized. NCBI's taxonomy places the organism in Eukaryota, Viridiplantae, Streptophyta, Magnoliopsida, Malvales, Malvaceae. The record is from RefSeq and is a predicted model, not a curated record. The transcript is spliced from 2 exons.
AAACCCAAUCCAAUGAAGUAAAGAGAAAAGUGAUUAAAGUCCUUAAUGGUUUUUCAACGACGAAAGUUGAAACAUUUUCAUGCAAUUCCCAAUUUAUAAAAGAUAAAAUUAGAGUUAUUUGGUCCCCCUCCCCUUUCCUUUCUAAUGCAGAUUCUCCCAAUUUGUUUGCAAAUUCUGUAUUGUUCUUUUCACUCUUCUGCCACACUUCUCGCCCUCUCUCUCUCUCUCCCAUGUACAUUAAUGCUUAGACCACCACCCACCACCACAUACACCAAUUUAUGAAACCUUCCCUUCCUUUUCUUCCUACUGACUUUUCUCAUCGCUGACCCUAUUUCUUCUCUAUCUUGCUUUGGGUUUUUUAUUUCGCAGCAGAAGGUUUAUAUUUUGAAGACAAAACAAGGUUGGGAUCAACUCCUCCAAGCUGCCACAACAGAUGUAAUGGAUGCCACCCUUGCAAGGCAGUUCAAGUACCUACUACACCAUUACUUAGCCAUUACCACC